Molecule: transfer RNA, 77 nt
Filed under: Hyphomonas sp.
Lineage: Bacteria; Pseudomonadati; Pseudomonadota; Alphaproteobacteria; Hyphomonadales; Hyphomonadaceae
Also listed under: 4 other names
Description: tRNA-Arg
Rfam family: tRNA
About the family: Transfer RNA (tRNA) molecules are approximately 80 nucleotides in length. Their secondary structure includes four short double-helical elements and three loops (D, anti-codon, and T loops).
Source: RNAcentral
GGUCCCGUAGCUCAGCAGGAUAGAGCAACAGAUUCCUAAUCUGUAGGUCACGCGUUCGAAUCGCGUCGGGAUCGCCA